This 461-nucleotide ribosomal RNA is filed under the name uncultured bacterium. RNAcentral's name for it is "bacterial SSU rRNA". It matches the Rfam family "Bacterial small subunit ribosomal RNA", at positions 33 to 507 of the family's 1533-position model. The record is from RNAcentral.
GACGCUGGCGGCGUGCUUAACACAUGCAAGUCGAACGGUGACGAGGAGCUUGCUCCUCCGAUCAGUGGCGAACGGGUGAGUAACACGUGAGUAACCUGCCCCAGACUCUGGAAUAACAGUUGGAAACAGCUGCUAAUACCGGAUACGAGACGGAGAGGCAUCUCUACCGUCUGGAAAGUUUUUCGGUCUGGGAUGGACUCGCGGCCUAUCAGCUUGUUGGUGAGGUAAUGGCUCACCAAGGCGACGACGGGUAGCCGGCCUGAGAGGGCGACCGGCCACACUGGGACUGAGACACGGCCCAGACUCCUACGGGAGGCAGCAGUGGGAAUAUUGCACAAUGGGCGAAAGCCUGAUGCAGCAACGCCGCGUGAGGGAUGACGGCCUUCGGGUUGUAAACCUCUUUCAGUAGGGAAGAAGCGAAAGUGACGGUACCUACAGAAGAAGCACCGGCUAACUACGUG